Long non-coding RNA from Etheostoma cragini (Arkansas darter), 324 nucleotides. RefSeq lists it as uncharacterized. NCBI's taxonomy places the organism in Eukaryota, Metazoa, Chordata, Actinopteri, Perciformes, Percidae. The transcript is spliced from 4 exons. The record is from RefSeq and is a predicted model, not a curated record.
UGUGUCUCUUUAAACUUCCACUCUGUGUAAAAGAUUUCUUACAGAUUGAGCAGCUGAAAGGUUUUUCUCCUGUGUGAGUCAUCAUGUGUUUCUUCAGGGAUCCACUUUCAGAGAAAGCUUUAGCACACUCAGAGCAGCUGAAAGGUUUCUCUCCUGUGUGGAUUAUAUUGUGUUUCUGUAAACUUCCACUAUGUGUAAAAGAUUUAUUACAAACUGAGCAGCUAAAAGGUUUUUCUCCUGUGUGAGUUCUCAUGUGUCUAUUCAGAUUUCCCUUUUGGUCAAAUCUUUUUCCACACUCAGAACAGCUGAAUGUAUUCUUACGUC